GGUAAGGUUUUUUUAAAAACCAUGGUAUUUAUUCAGAAAAAUAUGUU
Ovis aries (sheep) is the source of this 47-nucleotide non-coding RNA. The record is from Rfam. Lineage: Eukaryota; Metazoa; Chordata; Mammalia; Artiodactyla; Bovidae.